Molecule: ribosomal RNA, 467 nt
Filed under: Metapseudomonas otitidis
Lineage: Bacteria; Pseudomonadati; Pseudomonadota; Gammaproteobacteria; Pseudomonadales; Pseudomonadaceae
Description: bacterial SSU rRNA
Rfam family: Bacterial small subunit ribosomal RNA
Source: RNAcentral
AUUGAACGCUGGCGGCAGGCCUAACACAUGCAAGUCGAGCGGAUGAGUGGAGCUUGCUCCAUGAUUCAGCGGCGGACGGGUGAGUAAUGCCUAGGAAUCUGCCUGGUAGUGGGGGACAACGUUUCGAAAGGAACGCUAAUACCGCAUACGUCCUACGGGAGAAAGUGGGGGAUCUUCGGACCUCACGCUAUCAGAUGAGCCUAGGUCGGAUUAGCUAGUUGGUGAGGUAAAGGCUCACCAAGGCGACGAUCCGUAACUGGUCUGAGAGGAUGAUCAGUCACACUGGAACUGAGACACGGUCCAGACUCCUACGGGAGGCAGCAGUGGGGAAUAUUGGACAAUGGGCGAAAGCCUGAUCCAGCCAUGCCGCGUGUGUGAAGAAGGUCUUCGGAUUGUAAAGCACUUUAAGUUGGGAGGAAGGGCAGUAAGUUAAUACCUUGCUGUUUUGACGUACCAACAGAAUAAGC